UAAACGCGAAGAACCUUACCAGGUCUUGACAUCUUCUGCUAACCUAAGAGAUUAAGCGUUCCCUUCGGGGACGGAAUGACAGGUGGUGCAUGGUUGUCGUCAGUUCGUGUCGUGAGAUGUUGGGUUAAGUCCCGCAACGAGCGCAACCCUUAUUGUCAGUUGCCAGCAUUUAGUUGGGCACUCUGGCGAGACUGCCGGUGACAAACCGGAGGAAGGUGGGGAUGACGUCAAAUCAUCAUGCCCCUUAUGACCUGGGCUACACACGUGCUACAAUGGACGGUACAACGAGUCGCGAAACCGCGAGGUCAAGCUAAUCUCUUAAAGCCGUUCUCAGUUCGGAUUGUAGGCUGCAACUCGCCUACAUGAAGUUGGAAUCGCUAGUAAUCGUGGAUCAGC
RNAcentral lists this ribosomal RNA (396 nucleotides) under uncultured bacterium. RNAcentral describes it as "bacterial SSU rRNA". It matches the Rfam family "Bacterial small subunit ribosomal RNA", at positions 956 to 1353 of the family's 1533-position model. The record is from RNAcentral.